Molecule: ribosomal RNA, 460 nt
Filed under: uncultured bacterium
Lineage: Bacteria
Description: partial 16S ribosomal RNA
Rfam family: Bacterial small subunit ribosomal RNA
Source: RNAcentral
CCUACUUUCUUCCUCCUUGCGGCAUCUUGGUCAAUGGACGAGAGUCUGAACCAGCCAAGUAGCGUGAAGGAUGACUGCCCUAUGGGUUGUAAACUUCUUUUAUAAAGGAAUAAAACGAGGCACGUGUGCCUGUUUGCAUGUACUUUAUGAAUAAGGAUCGGCUAACUCCGUGCCAGCAGCCGCGGUAAUACGGAGGAUCCGAGCGUUAUCCGGAUUUAUUGGGUUUAAAGGGAGCGUAGAUGGGUUGUUAAGUCAGUUGUGAAAGUUUGCGGCUCAACCGUAAAAUUGCAAUUGAUACUGGCAGUCUUGAGUACAGUUGAGGUAAGCGGAAUUCGUGGUGUAGCGGUGAAAUGCUUAGAUAUCACGAAGAACCCCGAUUGCGAAGGCAGCUUACUAAACUGUGACUGACAUUGAUGCUCGAAAGUGUGGGUAUCAAACAGGAUUAGAUACCCUUGUAGUC